This 253-nucleotide ribosomal RNA is filed under the name uncultured bacterium. Its description in RNAcentral is "partial 16S ribosomal RNA". It matches the Rfam family "Bacterial small subunit ribosomal RNA", at positions 524 to 776 of the family's 1533-position model. The record is from RNAcentral.
UACGUAGGGUGCAAGCGUUGUCCGGAAUUAUUGGGCGUAAAGAGCUCGUAGGCGGCUUGUCACGUCGGCUGUGAAAACCCGGGGCUCAACUCCGGGCCUGCAGUCGAUACGGGCUGGCUUGAGUGCGGUAGGGGAGACUGGAAUUCCUGGUGUAGCGGUGAAAUGCGCAGAUAUCAGGAGGAACAUCAGUGGCGAAGGCGACCGCCUGGCCCAACACUGACGCUGAGGUGCGAAAGCGUGGGUAGCAAACAGG